UGGGGGCAUCCUGAGCAGCGACGCCGCGUGAGUGAGAGGCCUUCGGGUUGUAAAGCUCUGUUGUGGGGAAGAAUGAUGGGGGUCCAUAUGAGGAAUGCCCGACGAAACCCUUGGCGGAAGCCCCGGUUAAUUCCAGGGCGCCAGCCGUGUCCAGAAUUAGGGGGCAGAAAUUGUUCGGAAUCUGGGUUAUAAAGGGGGGCGCUAAUGGUUUGGCUCAACUUCUGUUUAUCUAUCGGUACUGUCCGAGGAAGGGAUUUGGAAAGGAAGUGAAUUUCCCGGUGUAGGGGAGAAAUGAAUUCAUGUUGGGAGGAACAACUUUGGCAAAGGCGACUUCAUGGAACAUUACUAACGCUCAUGUCCGAAAGGUAGGGGACCCAAAGGGAUUAAAUCCCCCGGUACUCCCAGCCUUAAACAAUGGGUACUACGUGGGGGUGUCGCAGGGCCUCUGUGCCGCAGCUAACGCGAUAACUUUCCCGCCUGGGGACUACGAUCGCAAGACUGAAACUCAAAGGAAUUUGAGCAAGAUUCAAACUCAAAGGAGAUGGAC
Molecule: ribosomal RNA, 547 nt
Filed under: uncultured bacterium
Lineage: Bacteria
Description: bacterial SSU rRNA
Rfam family: Bacterial small subunit ribosomal RNA
Source: RNAcentral